This 65-nucleotide transfer RNA is filed under the name Longitarsus lycopi. Its description in RNAcentral is "tRNA-His". The record is from RNAcentral. Lineage: Eukaryota; Metazoa; Arthropoda; Insecta; Coleoptera; Chrysomelidae.
AUCUAAAUAGUUUAAUAAAAAAAUAUUGAUUUGUGGAAUCAAAGAUAUAGGUAAUAUUUUAGAUU